GCGUACUUAGCUUAAUGGUCAGAGCAUCACUCAUGAAUGCUGAGGUUGUGGGUUUGAGUCCCACAGUACACC
Molecule: transfer RNA, 72 nt
Filed under: Puccinia coronata f. sp. avenae
Lineage: Eukaryota; Fungi; Basidiomycota; Pucciniomycetes; Pucciniales; Pucciniaceae
Rfam family: tRNA
About the family: Transfer RNA (tRNA) molecules are approximately 80 nucleotides in length.
Source: Rfam by way of RNAcentral